This 81-nucleotide transfer RNA is filed under the name Rhodopirellula maiorica SM1. It matches the Rfam family "tRNA". From Rfam's summary of the family: Transfer RNA (tRNA) molecules are approximately 80 nucleotides in length. Their secondary structure includes four short double-helical elements and three loops (D, anti-codon, and T loops). Lineage: Bacteria; Pseudomonadati; Planctomycetota; Planctomycetia; Pirellulales; Pirellulaceae. The record is from Rfam by way of RNAcentral.
GAGGCGGUAGCUCAGUGGCAGAGUAGGCGAUUCAUCGGAGGAUCGACAGCCAGGUCGCAGGUUCGAAUCCUGUCCGCUUCG